GGAGAGGAGGGAUGUGUUGCAGCAGAGUGGAUCGCUUACUCAAGACUUGCAGGAGUUGGUGACUGGGUGUUACCUGGGCGUUACCGGCACCACUUAUACCAAUGGCAAGACACUGCUGGGAAUCUUAGCAACCAUCAAGACUCACCACCCACAAGCACCAGCAUUAUCUCCAAUACCAAGAUACAUCCAUGUGUGAAAGGUUGUCAUCACAGGAGGAGGAAUCAUCAACAGAAGAGGUGCCGCCCACAGAACCCUGGAGGCGGAUCAACUGUGUCCCAUCUGUCCUUACUUCCUGCCCACGUCCGUCGAGGUCACCACACCUGUGGGCAUCCCGGCCAACCUCACCUGCGGCGUCAUGCAGCUCGGGGACAAGAAGGUGAGAGGGAGGAGAGGAAGGGAGGUCAGACUUAACCUCGUCCUUAAGGACUUGGGUGAGGAAGGAGAUGAGGAGGGAAAGAGGAGAUGAAUGUGAGAAGUGAGGAGAGAAAAGGAGGUCUGAGUUCACCUAUUCCUUUCUGUUCGUUGGUGAAAGAGAGGAAAAGGAGA
Eriocheir sinensis (Chinese mitten crab) is the source of this 546-nucleotide long non-coding RNA. RefSeq lists it as uncharacterized. Lineage: Eukaryota; Metazoa; Arthropoda; Malacostraca; Decapoda; Varunidae. The transcript is spliced from 3 exons. The record is from RefSeq and is a predicted model, not a curated record.